UGGGGUGUGGCUCAGUAGUAGAGCACUUGCCUAGAACAUGUGACACUCUGGGUUCAAUCCUCAGCACCACAU
RNAcentral lists this transfer RNA (72 nucleotides) under Marmota marmota marmota (Alpine marmot). It matches the Rfam family "tRNA". From Rfam's summary of the family: Transfer RNA (tRNA) molecules are approximately 80 nucleotides in length. Their secondary structure includes four short double-helical elements and three loops (D, anti-codon, and T loops). Further hydrogen bonds mediate the characteristic L-shaped molecular structure. tRNAs have two regions of fundamental functional importance: the anti-codon, which is responsible for specific mRNA codon recognition, and the 3' end, to which the tRNAs corresponding amino acid is attached (by aminoacyl-tRNA synthetases). tRNAs cope with the degeneracy of the genetic code in two manners: having more than one tRNA (with a specific anti-codon) for a particular amino acid; and 'wobble' base-pairing, i.e. permitting non-standard base-pairing at the 3rd anti-codon position. RNAcentral also lists the same sequence under 1 other name. Lineage: Eukaryota; Metazoa; Chordata; Mammalia; Rodentia; Sciuridae. The record is from Rfam by way of RNAcentral.